Long non-coding RNA from Mustela lutreola (European mink), 3853 nucleotides. RefSeq lists it as uncharacterized. The record is from RefSeq and is a predicted model, not a curated record. Lineage: Eukaryota; Metazoa; Chordata; Mammalia; Carnivora; Mustelidae. The transcript is spliced from 3 exons.
GGGAAGGUCAGGUCGAAAAUUCAGAUUGAUCUAACCUGUUUUUGCAAAAUAGCACUUUACCUACCCCAAACCUAAAGCGAAGCGCCAAUGCAGGGCUAUUCCAAUACGACUUCUACUCAUGCUUCACGAGGGAAGAGGCUUCUGCAGCCUUUCCAGAGUGUGUUACGAAGAGUCGUAGGAACCGCCAGGUUGCCACAGGGAAUUGAAGCAGAACACUCUGAAGGCUUUAAGGAAGAAAACAGAUCUCCACUCUGUGGCAAGAUUCAUUCCUGUAGCCGGGAAUGGUGAUGACAUGCUUUAAGUUAUUUGAGAUGAGUAAGCAGUUACAAGUUCCACUGGAAAUGUGGCUCCAGUCAUUUUCAGCCAAACCCUGAUAAUGGAAGUUUCAUCCUCUUGGCCAUCCUCUCCUGGGGCCCUGUGACUGCACCUGUUUCAGGCCUCUGCUGUUUCCCACAAGGUGUGGAGGAAUGCCUCGUCAACGCCUGUCAUCGUGUCCUUUUGCCCAUCGGAAGCACCCUACUAGGACUGGCUUUCUCCUACUAGUCCAUUUGCCAUACCCUCUUCUGAGGUCCAGUCUUUGCUGAAGAGAACCAAAGCAUCAGCCUAAAAGGGAAAAAAAGAUAAAAAGAAAAAGAGAAAGAAGGAAAAAAGAAGACGAAAAAAGAUACACCUUGAAUAACACACAUACACCGCCUCCCCCAACCUGUCUGUUGAUCCAGUGAUCUCUCUAGUGACCUGGCGAUCUAUCUAACAAUCUCAAUCCAUCUAAUGGACAUUGUUUUUUUUCUCUGCUUUAAUCUGGGGAACAGUUCACAAAUGGAAAGACAGAAGUUGGCCCUCUCUUACUUAAGCUAGAAACAUUCCUCCCAAAGUGCUGAUGCUGGUCUAUUGUCAGACAGCAUUGCUCUCUCUCAUUAAUAUUAACCAUUUCCUCUAAAGUGUCUUCCUCUUUGACUUGCUCUGUUUUAAGGAGCCAUUAUUCUUAUAGUGGUUGCUAAGUCACCAUCAAAGAAUUCUAAGAUCUUUGAAGCACGAACAUACAGGAAAUCGGCAUUAUCAGUUCCUUAGUCUUUGCAGGUAGUGUGAAUUUAUUUUUGAAAGAGGUAGAGAAAUUGUGGUUGGGUCCAUCUAAGUCAAAAUGCAUUCUACUCCAGAAAUGCAUAUCACUGAAGAAUUAACCACACUGUUAUCAAUGUUAUCUGCUACAGCAUGUGUCAUUAACUUUUACUGAAGCCUACCUAAAUGUCUGUGUGUAUCUCUGCAUGUGUGUGGAGUGUGUUUCGCUAAAGAUAACGUAUGUUCUAUUUAUAGCUAGGACAUUUUUGUAGAAGCAAACUGAGAUUAUACUUUGCCACUUCUACAUAAUCAAGUUGAGAAUUUUUAUUAAUCUAUUUACUGGUUGAUAGGCUAGUUGGCUUCCAGAUAGGGAUGGAGAAGGUUCUGUUUAGUUUUUGUUUUGUUUUCUUGGGAAGUAAAAAAAAGGUGACUCUGUGGCUUAGUAAUCAGAGAUGAACUAUUCAUAAAAGUGUCUGGUGGAAUGCUUUCUUUGAUUGCUGCUGAUGAAUCAAAUCUCUUUAGUUUAACCUUGGCCUCCAAACACAAACUCAAUCCAAACUUGCUUCUAGAAUAUCACGUGUGGCAAAUCUGUGAUCCUGCCAAACCACCUGAAAAGAAUUAUUUUCCUUGCACACAAAAAAUAAUUGUCAGCUCUUUAAAGUUCAGACUGUAGAGGUUUUGAUCAAUUAAAACCGCUUCCAUACCUCAGUAGCAUUCCCAAAGGUUAAAUACAUUUCUGUUCUUGCAUCUACAGGAUAAUUAUGGGAAAGUGAGUGAAUUUCUACUCUGAAAAGAUAUGGAAACCAAGUAGUUAUUUGUGCCUGCAAAUCCUUUUGGGUCUAAAGAACCAGCAAGAUAAUAAAUUGUUUUGCUAAAAACAGGAAGUUUGGCAAAGAUGCAAAAGUACAGCUAAACUUUGGCCAGGAAACCCAAAACAUUGUGUUCUUCUUUGAAAGUAUUUCCAGUGAGAAAAAAAAAAAAAGCGGAGUGCCUUGAAUACAUAGUUUAAGAAACAGUGAAGGCAUCUGGCAACAUGAACUGCUUGCCAAACUUGUGGUCGUGCUGUGCUUGCUGAUGGAAAGAUGUGCCAGUUUUCAAUGACUUAUGUCAUGCACAGCUGGAAACCCACACAUAAGAUCUCGAAUGUUGUGAAGUCCAAAACGAUUCGAGAAAAUAUCUCCCUUUCCUCUCCCUUCAUCCAAACUGUAAAAAAUAUUAAAGAAAAGAAAAAGAAUUACGUGGAGUUUAGAUGGGGAAAAACCAACUUCAGAUUUCCCUGGGAAACCUGUUUCAAGGCAGGAGCGUUCAAUCAGUUGAGACAUUCUGGAAGUUGUUAGGUUUUUUCCUCUCUCUCCCCUCCCUCAAAUUCUUCAUACUCACUCUUGCCAGCUUUAUUAAUAUGAUUGUGAUUAUGUGGCAUCUGUUUUGGACAGAGCCGAUAGGAUUGUAAUUUCCACUUCAGUCCAUCAGUCUGGAAAGACUUCAAAAUGUGGGCCAGAAAAAAUAAGAAAUUAACCCAAGACGUCUGGAAAAGAAAGUAUUGUGCUUCUGUCUAUUCCAGCUGCAGGGAACUCUGGGACAUCUUGAUUGGAGGAGGAUGUGUUGGAGAAAUGAUGCUCCUUGGGCAUGCAGGGCCUUUUCCAGCUGGAAAUGGCAAUGGGACUCCUUUUAUUCUCCCUUUACAAUGAUUAGGCUUGGAGUUUUGAACUCAGGAUUCAAGGAGAGGAACUUCCAACUUUAGUUCCUACCAUUUAUUUGGGGUGGAAGCAAUUGUCCAGCUCCCUUAUUCUCUCAUUUGAGCAGUAGAAGGAAACAAAGCAACCCAUCAGGGUCAGCAGCUGGAGUCAGCACCUCCAGCGAGGGACCUUAUGAACACCUGUACCAGGGAUCCAGAGGCAAGCAGAGAGGAAAGUUUCCCCUUUCUUUCUUCUUCUGAGAUGGGCUUUCUUUAAUCACUAUUUUCUCCCUCUGUCUACUACUCCGUUGUUUGGUUUUACCUUUGAUGUACCUCUUGAUCUUAACUGCCAAUUGUUUUCUCUUGGUGGGGGAAAUAUUGAGCAGCUUAGUGUAGCCAUGGAGUAGGGAAUAUGGACCUCUGGCCCCGGUUUUGUACCUGGUGACCAAGACAAUUCUCUCUCUAAAUCAAGAUCUCUUCAUCUGUUGGUGAGUCAUUGUAAUGGUACGUCAAAGACGUGGUGAAUGGAACAAGGCACAAACUGCAACCCUCGGUGGGUUGCAUGGAUUCAUAUGUGAUCAACAAAUGUUGGCCCCUAUUGGGAUGAAAGGAGCGAGCCCACAAAGUGAUUUGCUCUACCCAGGAGUCAGUCUAGAAAAGUUUUUGGUUUUUCUCAGCAUUAAUUUGUUCUUUUUAGAAACAAAUGCCACCAGCUUUGAGACUGUCAUAUUAAAAAAAUAAAAAUAUAUGGUCUUUAAUUGCUGAUUAGAAAAUGACUGGAUAAUUUAGAGAUUUUCAAGAGAGAAAAGAAACAAGAAUAUCCUUUAAUUUACUACCUAGAAAUAACUGAUUUGUAUGUUGACAUAAUUCUUUCAGUCUUUUUUCUAUGAUUUUGUUUUAAAUUAUCAAAGUGGCACACUGUUAUAUACCCUAAGCAUUUUACAAUACAUUAUUUUGUAAACAUUUUCCCACUUUAAAUAUUAUUUUUUAAAUGCCUAAAAAUAUUAUUCUAAAGGGCACUGUAUCAUCCCAUUGUGUGGCUAUUCGUACAGGAAUUAAGGAUUAAGGGUUCUUUCUUUCUUUUUUUCUCUUUAAAAACACCGUGAUGAAUACCUUUGCAUU